GGAGUAUUAAUGUUACGAGGCAGAGAGCCAGCUGCUAAAUGAGUCACGUUAACUUCAUGCUUCAUCCACACAGAGCAUGUUACUAUCGCCACUAGUGGCGGAUUUCUUUGGCU
Molecule: long non-coding RNA, 113 nt
Organism: Etheostoma cragini (Arkansas darter)
Lineage: Eukaryota; Metazoa; Chordata; Actinopteri; Perciformes; Percidae
Exons: 4
Source: RefSeq, a predicted model, not a curated record